Vanessa atalanta (red admiral) is the source of this 569-nucleotide long non-coding RNA. RefSeq lists it as uncharacterized. The record is from RefSeq and is a predicted model, not a curated record. The transcript has 4 exons. NCBI's taxonomy places the organism in Eukaryota, Metazoa, Arthropoda, Insecta, Lepidoptera, Nymphalidae.
CAUGUAAAAAAUUAAUAUGCUGGAAAGAAUUAAAACAUAAAUUACAUUUCAAGUAAAUAUGAAGAACUUCGAACUUGGUCUUUGCGGGCUCUUGUUUCUUCUGAUACAGGUUGUAAGCGCUUUUGCCUGUAAGAGAAAAUCGUCUUGUCGUCCCCCGCGCUGUCCCGGCGGUUGCAAGCCCAAGUACUGGUAGAUGACAAGAACUUCGGCUGAGCUUUUUUAUCGACAGAAUCAUGGUAUUUUCACUGCUAUGGCGUUACGUGUGGUGGGUGGCGUGGUGCGCGGCGUGGAUGGUCGCGGGGGCGAGGGGCUGUAAAAAGAAAACAAUCUGCCGCCCGCCUCCCGGUGGCCGACCUGGGUGUGGCGGAGGCAGAUAAAUGUUCGUGAUUCAACUACUCCAAUGUCCAGAUCUGAUAAAGCACAAGUGGAAAAUGUAACAAGGAAUAAAACAAAUUGACUUUUUAUGAAUUUUUAUUGAUUUUUUUCUUAUAAAAUAUGCUUCUUACACGACUACUCAGUAGUUCCUGAAACAAGACAUUAGUUUUUUUAUCAAAUCAUGAAGUUUUUAA